AGUAAAUUGGUUAAGUUAGAAAGGGCGCACGGUGGAUGCCUUGGCACUAGGAGCCGAAGAAGGACGGGACUAACACCGAUAUGCUUUGGGGAGCUGUACGUAAGCGUUGAUCCAGAGAUUUCCGAAUGGGGGAACCCACUAUCUUUAGUCGGAUAGUAUCCUUACGUGAAUACAUAGCGUAAGGAAGGCAGACCCAGGGAACUGAAACAUCUAAGUACCUGGAGGAAGAGAAAGAAAAAUCGAUUUCCUGAGUAGCGGCGAGCGAAACGGAAAGAGCCCAAACCAAGAAGCUUGCUUCUUGGGGUUGUAGGACACUCUAUACGGAGUUACAAAAGAAAGUUAUAAAUGAAGCGGUCUGGAAAGGCCCGCCAAAGACGGUAACAGCCCGGUAGUUGAAAUGGCUUUCCCUCCAGAGUGGAUCCUGAGUACGGCGGAACACGUGAAAUUCCGUCGGAAUCCGGGAGGACCA
This 469-nucleotide ribosomal RNA is filed under the name Listeria monocytogenes. RNAcentral's name for it is "partial 23S ribosomal RNA". It matches the Rfam family "Bacterial large subunit ribosomal RNA", at positions 1 to 455 of the family's 2925-position model. Lineage: Bacteria; Bacillati; Bacillota; Bacilli; Caryophanales; Listeriaceae. The record is from RNAcentral.